AGUAGGCCAGACAGUUGCGGGGACAAGGCGAAAGCCUGUUCAUGAGGAAAGUCCGGGCUCCACAGGGCAAGGAUAACGGGUAACGCCCGCCGAAGGCGACUUCAGGAAAAGUGCAACAGAGAUAUACCGCCGCGUCACAUCCCCAAAAUGGGGACCUCCGCAAAAACGUCAGUUUUUGUGGGGAGAUAAGGUACAGCGAAGUGAUUUUGGCCUGCCGUUUGCGGCCGGACGAAAGCUAUGGAGCUGGCACCGACGAGGUAAGGGUGGAAAGGCGAGGUAAGAGCUCACCCGACGGCGCGUGAAAGUGACCGUCGCUGUAAACUCUAUUCGGAGCAACACCGGUAUGGGAGCAUAUAGGCUGGCCCGGCCGCUCCCGGGGUGGCUUGAGCGUGCCGGCAACGGUACGCCCAGAUAGAUGACUGUCGAAACAGAACCCGGCUUAUAGGUCUGCUCG
RNAcentral lists this RNase P RNA (454 nucleotides) under human gut metagenome. RNAcentral describes it as "Bacterial RNase P class A". It matches the Rfam family "Bacterial RNase P class A". From Rfam's summary of the family: Ribonuclease P (RNase P) is a ubiquitous endoribonuclease, found in archaea, bacteria and eukarya as well as chloroplasts and mitochondria. Its best characterised activity is the generation of mature 5'-ends of tRNAs by cleaving the 5'-leader elements of precursor-tRNAs. The record is from RNAcentral.